This is a non-coding RNA of Pelobates cultripes (western spadefoot toad), 531 nucleotides long. NCBI's taxonomy places the organism in Eukaryota, Metazoa, Chordata, Amphibia, Anura, Pelobatidae. The record is from the annotation of a GenBank genome assembly.
GGGGAGAAAACACUAGGUAGAUCUGUGAUAGCAGCAACCUCUAUGGGCACGAUAUUAAUGUAAACUAGUUCAUAUUCUUAUUUAUCCACAACCCGUCAACCAAAAGAAUCCCAGAGAAGACAAACUGCAGACACCAUGGACAGAGGAGAAAAACGUGGAGGCGCCCAGGUACUGAGAUCCGGCAUAAGGAAGAAAAGACAAUAAGCAUAAAUAAAGGCAAGUAGCAAGAGCGAACUUUGCAGAGUCAUUUAUCAAUGACUUUGGUUUUUACUAUAUAUUGGGGCUGAUGUGUACUGUAGUCAUUGCUGCCAGCCCAGUAGUGAUGGGAGUGAGCGCAGGACUUCUCUUUUUGUAUUUGUAUUUAUCAAUGAAUGCCUACAAGAAAACAUUAGUUAUCAGAAACAACACGCUGUAGAACAGGGGUGUCCAGAAGGUAGAUCCCCAGAGUUUUUAAAACUACAGCUUCCAUGAUGCUUUGUCAUUCUAAAGCAUUCUAACGGCAUGCAAAGCAACUGAGGAGCUGUAGUUCUG